This is a long non-coding RNA of Gopherus evgoodei (Goodes thornscrub tortoise), 1506 nucleotides long. RefSeq lists it as uncharacterized. Lineage: Eukaryota; Metazoa; Chordata; Testudines; Testudinidae. The transcript is spliced from 3 exons. The record is from RefSeq and is a predicted model, not a curated record.
GACAAGAUUUGAAUUAGUAGCCAUGCAAAAAUAAAAAUGAACAAGAUCAUCAGUGUUAGUACAUACAAUAUUUACAGCUCUGCUAGCAUUGAACUGUUCAUGCUAAUGUUGUAAAGAAGUUAAUAUACAAUAGCUUAAACACAUUAUUAGGAAGUUAUUACAGUCAUCAUCCAUUAACAGUUAUCAGAUGUUAGCUCUUCUAUAUAAAUAAUUAAAAACAAGGCUGAACACAAGGGAGCAGGCAGUCCAUGCAUAUAUGGCUUCAUCUCACCAUUAACUAUGUGACAUACAAGAAAUCAUGAUACUAUUCAUACCUUAAAAAAUCUAAACUGUGAAAGUCAGCCACGCAGUAUUAGUUCAUGAGAAUGUAUUAAAAUGCUAUUGUUAAGCAAUACUGAAUUAGUAAUUCUGAUAAGGAGUAGCAAUAUAAAAAAGUUAUAAAAUGCUUAUAACUGAAGUGGAUGAAAAUCUUGGGGAUAUAGGAAAGAUUACUGAAAAUGUUUUUACCUUUGAAUCUUUAAGCUUUUGAAAAUAAGAAAUUACAAAGGUGUGCUUUAAAAUACUGGCAUUUCAGAGAUAAGACAUUGCCAAUGAUAUUGCCAAGUUUAUAGCAAACAGAAAACUAUACCAUUUAAGAAUAUUAUUUUUGAUAAAUGAGGGUUCAUAGGCUUUUACUUUCUAUUCCUAUCAUCUGUACUGAUGGGGAAAAAAUCUACCUGUAAAUGUUUAAAAUUUUAUUUUUUGGUAUGUGUUUCCCAAUUUAUGGUGACAUCUCUCUCCUUUCAAAGGAUCAACUAUUCCUAUCUGCAAUACACAGUAUCAGAAGACAGUACAAAAUGAACGUUACUGUAUUUAUUCGACUUCCAUCGUUGUGUACGUCUACACUACCCGCCGGAUCUAUCUAUUGGGGAUCGAUGUAUCGUGUCUCGUCUAGAUGCGAUACAUCAAUCCCUGAAUGCACUCCCUGUCGACUCUGGAACUCCACUAGGGCGAGAGACAGAAGCGGAGUUGAUGGGGGAGCGGCGGCCAUCGAUCCCACACCGCAAGGACGCAAAUAGGCCCAAGGCGGUGUACGUGGACAGAAGGAGCGUCACGUGAUCCCUCACCUGAGACUGGGAGGUGCCCUUGACAAGCCAAUCAUCCAGAUAUUUCCCUAUCUGUACCCCCUUACCAUGAACAUGCAUUUUGUAAACACCCUGGGGGCAGUGGACUGCCCAAACAGAAGGACCGUAAAUUGGUAAUGAUUCUGUCUCAUCACAAAAUGGAGGAAGCGCCUGUGCCCCUUGAAUAUGUGGAUGUAGAAGUACACAUCCUGUAGAUCGAGGGCAGCAUAAUGGUCCCUGGGAUCCAGGGAGCGGAUGAUGGAGGCCAGGGAGACCAUGCGGAACUUGAGUUUCCCCAUGUGCUGGUUCAGAACCCAGAGGUCCAGUAUGGGCCUGAGACCCCCUUUGGCCUUGGGAUAAGGAAAUAAUGGGAGUAGUACGCCUUUCCCAUGAACUCCUCAGG